GACAGAGGAUGCAAGCGUUAUCCGGAAUGAUUGGGCGUAAAGCGCACGUAGGUGGUUUGGCAAGUUGGAUGUGAAAGCCCCGGGCUUAACCUGGGAACUGCAUUCAAUACUACCAAGCUAGAGUAGAGUAGAGGGAAGUGGAAUUUCCGGUGUAGCGGUGAAAUGCGUAGAUAUCGGAAGGAACAUCAGUGGCGAAGGCGGCUUCCUGGACUCAUACUGACACUGAGGUGCGAAAGCGUGGGGAGCAAACAGG
RNAcentral lists this ribosomal RNA (253 nucleotides) under uncultured bacterium. RNAcentral describes it as "partial 16S ribosomal RNA". It matches the Rfam family "Bacterial small subunit ribosomal RNA", at positions 524 to 776 of the family's 1533-position model. The record is from RNAcentral.